Molecule: ribosomal RNA, 255 nt
Filed under: uncultured bacterium
Lineage: Bacteria
Description: partial 16S ribosomal RNA
Rfam family: Bacterial small subunit ribosomal RNA
Source: RNAcentral
UACGUAGGGGGCAAGCGUUGUCCGGAUUUAUUGGGCGUAAAGAGCGUGUAGGCGGCCAAGCAGGUCAGCUGUGAAAACUCGAGGCUCAACCUCGAGACGUCGGUUGAAACCGCUUGGCUAGAGUCCGGAAGAGGAGAGUGGAAUUCCCGGUGUAGCGGUGAAAUGCGCAGAUAUCAGGAGGAACACCAAUGGCGAAGGCAGCUCGCUGGGACGGUACUGACGCUGAGAACGCGAAAGCGUGGGGGAGCAAACAGG